Molecule: non-coding RNA, 1658 nt
Organism: Ictidomys tridecemlineatus (thirteen-lined ground squirrel)
Lineage: Eukaryota; Metazoa; Chordata; Mammalia; Rodentia; Sciuridae
Source: RefSeq, a predicted model, not a curated record
UUUUCACAUAAUUUAAUAUCUAUGACUUAAUUAAAUAUAUCCUAUCAAUACUCUCUAUCCAAAGAUGCUAUUGAAAUAAUCAGUGUGUUUCUGCAAUGGCUUUGGUCAUACACCAUUGUUCUUUAGGUUUUGUCAGCAUUUUCAUUAAAAAGUUGUACUCUAUUUAUAACUUGGAAGCAAAAAUGCAUUCUGGGCUAAAACUUAACAUCUAAAAUCUUUGUCCAAAAGCAGUUUUCUAAAGUAAACACAGAAUGGAAGUCUUAUGACUCUCAGAAAGCUUGAGGUCUUUUGGAAGAUCUAUAAGAAACCAGCAAAGAAUCAAAUUUAUUAUUCUCUCUUGUGCACCAGGAAAGCAUGCUGAAUCUGGAAGGAAACCAGGCUGUGGAAGGAAAUGCAGUUCAUUCUGUCACUGAGCUGAAGAAUUGGGGUUCUUAGGUUUUAUUCUUGGUUAUACCCCUUGAAGCACACUAGAACAAGCAUGAAUUUUGGAGUCACUCAGAACUGGGUUAAAAUUCUAUCUUCACUGCUUAUAUCAUUUGGGAAAUUUCUUGAAGUCUUUGCAUCAUCUGUGUGGAUUAAAUGAGAUGACCUAUGUAAAAGUCCAGUACACUGUUCAUUAUCUUCUCUACAACAUAUAGUGUAGUUUGAAGAUAUUUACUUGUUUUUCCUUUGUUGAUUAGCAUACCUAUUCUGAGAAUUUGUUUUUAAAGGAAUGUUUUCUCUUAAAUUUAUGUUGACCAAACAAAAAUAUUAAUUCAAAUAAACAAUACAACUAACUCUAUACCACCCAGAAAAUGACAAAAUAUUAUACAGAGUAUAAAGGCAGCUCACUUAACUUUAGAAUAGAUAGAAAGUCACUGUCUUUCUCUUCCCAGUCCCCAGCCUAGGGGCAUUCAUUGCCUUUUUGUAGCCUUAUCCUGUGGAAACAGAAUAAAAUAAAACUAUUUCAGUCAACAUGAGCAGGAAUCUGGUAGGCCUGUGGCAGAAGAGAGCCUUUGGCAACAGAAAUGUGGCCUCUUAUAGGACACAGGAAAACAUUCUUUUUGCUAUGGUCUAUCUUGUUCCCAGAACUGUUCUUUUCCAAUAGCUAGUUCAUCAUCAUAGCAUAUGUUAUUUAAAUAGCCUGAGUACAUGGCUCAUAACCAUUAUUCUUUCUGCUUAUCCAAAUCUGUUUAUUUAUCUAUCUUUCUUUUCUCAUUAAUUAAUUUAAUAAGUACUUACUACUGUUUUCCAGCCACUGUCCUUGUUCCUAUAGAUUCAUAUACUAUAAGAAAACAUUCCGUGUUCUCAAAGAGGAAGCAGCAAUCAGUUAAAUAAUUGCACUGGUGAAGAUAAAGAUAUAAUUUUGAUCCUAUAGGUGAAUCAUACAAGUUCUGGAUGUGCUGAAGUGGCUGGGGAAAAUUUCCAGAGGCAUAUGGUACAUUAGGGGCAAAGUGACUGAAGUAUUGGAGCAUUUGCCUGGGGAAGAGCUUGUAAGAAGGAAUGGAUUGAGAUGACAGAGAGCAAAACUGUUGGGGAAGAUAAUGAGUUUCAAGAAAUGUGGAUUCUCAACACAACAAGAGUUACGAAAAAUUGUGCUGUGAAUUGAUAACUAUGAAUGCAAUCCACUAUUGUCAUGUAUGUAAGAAAUAAUAAAAAAUAAAUUUGUCAAAUUUUUA